Molecule: ribosomal RNA, 473 nt
Filed under: uncultured bacterium
Lineage: Bacteria
Description: bacterial SSU rRNA
Rfam family: Bacterial small subunit ribosomal RNA
Source: RNAcentral
AAUCAACGCUGGCGGCGUGCCUCAGACAUGCAAGUCGAACGAUUAAAGCUCUCUUCGGAGAGUGUAUAGAGUGGCGCACGGGUGAGUAACACGUAAGUAAUCUACCUUUGAGUGGGGAAUAACCCGGGGAAACCCGAGCUAAUACCGCAUAAUGCAGCGGCACCGCAAGGUGACAGUUGUUAAAGGAGCAAUCCGCUUAAAGAGGAGCUUGCGGCAGAUUAGCUAGUGGUAAGGUAAUGGCUUACCAAGGCUUCGAUCUGUAUCCGGCCUGAGAGGGCGGUCGGACACACUGACACUGAAUAACGGGUCAGACUCCUACGGGAGGCAGCAGUCGGGAAUUUUGGGCAAUGGGCGAAAGCCUGACCCAGCAACGCCGCGUGAAGGAUGAAGUAUUUCGGUAUGUAAACUUCGAAAGAAUGGGAAGGAUCAAUGACGGUACCAUUUAUAAGGUCCGGCUAACUACGUGCCAGCAG